UUUAAAAUUCUGCAGUUUGUAGAAUUUUGACCUCUUAGCUCUCGAAAACCUUCCAUAACACACUUUUACUCAUUUUAACACCUCCGUACUUUCCGAAGUGUACCAACCUCACACUUUCGUCAAUUUGACUAAAGUUCGAUAUUUAUUUACCGAAGCUUUUCGGUAUAUUACAUUCUCCACCCCUUAAAAUAAUUUCGUCCUCAAAAUUAACCAUACCAUAACUCGUUGACUCGAAUAAAUGCGGAUAGUUCCGCCG
RNAcentral lists this long non-coding RNA (256 nucleotides) under Ananas comosus (pineapple). RNAcentral describes it as "long non-coding RNA (ACOM_LNC012037)". Lineage: Eukaryota; Viridiplantae; Streptophyta; Magnoliopsida; Poales; Bromeliaceae. The record is from RNAcentral.